GUAGGUGGCAAGCGUUGUCCGGAAUUAUUGGGCGUAAAGCGCGCGCAGGCGGUCCUUUAAGUCUGAUGUGAAAGCCCACGGCUCAACCGUGGAGGGUCAUUGGAAACUGGGGGACUUGAGUACAGAAGAGGAAAGCGGAAUUCCAUGUGUAGCGGUGAAAUGCGUAGAGAUUUGGAGGAACACCAGUGGCGAAGGCGGCUUUCUGGUCUGUAACUGACGCUGAGGCGCGAAAGCGUGGGGAGCAAACAGGGAUUAGAUACCCUGGUAGUCCACGCCGUAAACGAUGAGUGCUAAGUGUUAGGGGGUUUCCGCCCCCUUAGUGCUGCAGCUAACGCAUUAAGCACUCCGCCUGGGGAUACGGCCGCAAGGCUG
Molecule: ribosomal RNA, 372 nt
Filed under: uncultured organism
Description: partial 16S ribosomal RNA
Rfam family: Bacterial small subunit ribosomal RNA
Source: RNAcentral